GGUUCCAUUUGGGAGAUUUUGAUGCCUCCGUUUAAAGGGGCCUGUAGAGUGACACAGCAGAUGUGAGGCCAUGACGCGGCGCUUUCUGGAUGUGACCCAAACAACCUCCCAACCACAGGGUUGUACCUCUAUAAAGCCAGUCAACAGUAAGAACAACACGCAGAAUCACAGGCUGAGGGAGCUGCGUGGGAAACGGGUCCGCUCCAACGCUGAAGAUGAGGAUGGACACAGAGGCGCCCUUCAUCAAAAUGGCACCGCAUGCCGCUGGACUCUGCUCAUGGAGGAGCGUCUGCGUAACGCCACAGUGGGGGCCUUUGUUCAGGUCCCGCUCCGUGGCCGAUAAUGUCAAACGGUGACUGAACCGUCCCCGUUGCAUAAGACGAUGACGCACUGACCGAGAAUGCAGGACGCGUUGCUUUAUCCCAAGCUGCGACAAAACAAAGCCUUUUCUUCGGUCGCAAAAACCCAAUAAAUGUGGUUUUGUUCCAGGAAUAUUGUGGGAACGUCGCUGAGUCAGAGGAAAAGCAACUGGACGGCGUGGAUGGUCUGUGACCCAGAAGCAGCCGUGUGUUUGGGUCAGAACAUUCAGAGUAAACAUUAAUCUGAUGCCACAGAAGCGAGUCGGCACAGUGUUAAGUAUUGGAGUCAUUCAUUUACAAACGUGCCUCAGCGCAGAGCUUGGAAUCAUUAUAUAAGGCGUCUAUUUUAGCUGGUGAAGCUGGAAGGAUUAGGGCGGCGAGGUGCCUGUCAGAGGCUGGUGGCGUCAGGGUGUUAGUGAGAACAGCUCGGCCAAGAAAGGAGCAGCUUCCAGCGCUGGCAGCUGGGGAGGUGAUCGAGAUACAUGGACUGGCUGUGUGACCACCACAUUCUGCUUUAUCUGUUGUAUUAUAUAUGCUUUUGUUGUAUUUAUAUGUUUUCUUCUUCUUCUUCUUCUUCUUCUUCUUCUUCUUCUUCUUCUUCUUCUUCUCUUUCACCUUUGUGAUGUAACAUGUGGUGGCCACUCAUGUUUUCUUUAGGAACGCCACCUGACCUUUGACCUGUUAACCUUUGGUCUGCUGGUGAACUGUGACUUCAAACACUCUGCAGGUUUUACAUGUUGGUGGCCCCAAACACGAGCGACAGCUUAAACCAACUGACCUCCCGGUCGGCGUGAGCCAGCACGGCGGCGCUGGUCCCCUCCCAGCGUUCCCAGUCGUCCCCGUAGCGGCGCACGGAGGGAGGCUGCAUCACGGCCUCGUGGCUGUUUAUACAGCUGCCCUGUGUUAGCCGCGCACCGGGGUUAUAGCAGAUUAAGUAAAUCUGCUGCAUAACAGGCUUCUUAUCGAGAACUCAGUGUAACUAGGUUUCACUCAUACUCCUCGACAGGGAUCAUCUGGUGGAGGAAUUACUCCGCAGGCGACGAACAGGCACAAUUACCUGCCGCUGACAGCAGCACCUUGACAGGGCCUGGGCUGAGUCCUGCUGCUUCUCAUUCGCUUUGCAUGCGGCAACGCUGGCGUCGCACGCGGCGGGUCCCGCCUCCCUGCUGUUCCACCGCUCGGGCCCAGCUCACUGUGGCCCAUCGCCAGCGCGCGUCAGCUGCGUCCAGCUUUCCUGAUGAAAGGAGCCGUGCCAGGACUCCUGUUGACACACAUCGCUGCUUAUGUAAUGUAGCACAUUGCCCUACAUUGGACCACAGCCACGCGGUCCUGGUGGAUAAUGUGGCCUGCACCGCGCCCGUCCACGUCCUCUGCCUGAUAGGAGGAGGCAGCCGGGACCGUCCUCGGUCGGCGCCGCUGAACCGGGCCGCUGAACCGGGCCGCUGAACCGGGCCGCUGGACCCGGCCGCUGGAAGGAGGCCGGACGCUUGGCAGCAGCGGUAACACACUGUGACAGGUCGACCUGUGUGUUUAAGAACCCGUUUCCUGGUCACGUCCCGCUCUGUUUGCAGCGCUCUCUGUUGCUGCCAGCGCCAUCUGCUCCUGUUUACAGACACUCGGCCCGUUUUAAUAAGGUAUCCGCUCCUUCUUACUGUAAAGCACUUCUAUUUACAAACAGACUGUUCGCACUAUUUUGCUCUGAAAUGUUGGACGUCAAACUUCAAAGAAGCCACAAAAUUUCCAAAAUACACUGUAAUCAUCAUGCUGUUAUUACACAGCCGUUGCUAUGGUAACUGUAGCAAGCUGCCAGUAGAAACUGUGAAGCGCCCGUGUAUUAUGUGCUUUAUCUCCGUAAGCGAGUCACUUUCUGUUUGAGUCACUGUGUCCUCCGCACCCCAUGGCAACCGUGUCUGCCCAGCGCGGUGCGAAACUGUAACGCAAAUCAGAGGCCCUUUUUUGACAGGGAAUAUGAGACUCACAAUCUCUCUCAUCCCGUCCAGAUCAGCUCCACUCAUCAUCACCAACCAUGUCCCCUGUAUAUUCUUCACCUACUGUACAGUACAGGCCCAGAAAUUGAUCCUAGGUGCCUUUCAUUUCAACCCGAUCACGUUUCAAAAUAGUGUUCGAGCAUGUGCUCCCAGUGGAAUGAGAUGAAGGUCAUCUCCAGCUGUCUGAGAUGUUGUUGUCAUUACAACUGGCUGAUCAUGUGACAGGGUCACCUCCUCCGUGUGUGUGUUCAGUCUAUUACAGUACAUCAGCAGCCCCUUUCAUCCUGUCUACUUGGCCUCAUGCUGCCUUCAGGGAGCAGGUCAGACGUAAUCGUAGGGAAUCAAGGGAUUUCCAGGGGACUCUUGUGCACACACAUAUUUGAGAUGCCAAUCAAUAUUCUUCACAUGGGAGACACGUGGGUGAGGACUUGACUGAAAGCACUAGAUCAAGGUUAUGUGGAAGGAGAUGCUGACUGUCAGCAUACAUGUGCUGAACGGGCAACAAAUUUUGGAGGGAUAAUGUAAACAUUUGCCUUUUCAGUAUCACAGGUCCAUUGGGUAGGUCCAUGUUUUCCUCCAGACAAAACAUUUCCAAAGCCAUUAUCCUCAGAAACGAAGCGCAGCGCAGAGGACGACGUCAAGCCUGGGAGCGCGGCGGCUUCUUUAUCUGCUUCCUGUUGACCUCCUCCUGUGUCCACAGCUGUAAGCGAGCGCGUCGGGAAACACCGGCCCCCCCGGAGAGCCAGGCCCGCUGUCAGCAGAGCCGCCGCGAGGCCUUAUAAGGAUGGGACUCUGUCAAUGCAAUCACAGCGGCUGGAGCAGAAAAUAGACUGUGUAACUACCAAAUUAUUGACUGAUGACAGACAGCAGCAUUAACAUAGAGAUGGAAAAGCAGCGCUGAACUGGGGAACUCCCGCCCCUCCCCAGGCCUGAGUCACCAUCAGGAAAGGAGCCAGACCCAGACACAGGCAGCCUUUCACCUAAAUCCCCCCUCAGCCCCUCAACGCCCCCACUCCUAAACCUGCGAGGGCCGUCUGGCCCGUAAACCAGCGCGAGCGGCCCUUUGUUUCUAGGAGAGGCAUAAACACCUGCACAGGAACCUGCUUUUAUUGACCCACACAUACAGUAGCGCUGCCUUCACCGUUACCAUCAACAGGGCUUCAGUGGUUGAGACAUCCGUCCCGUUUGCGCCAUUUUUGUGGUUUUGUUUUUGGUUUGGGCGUCACACGGUUGCUACGGUGACAAUCAUUCGUCGUAAACACCAGCGUGAGAGGAGGAAGUGAAGCCUCCAAAGUUUUUUUCAGUAGGUUCUGAACAUAGUGUGACUUCAUUCCAGUACACAGCACCUGGUAAAUAAAAAAACGUGUGGUCUGAGUCCUGUUAUCAAUUUCACCUCUUAUAUAAACAUUUGUCCACUUGUAUCACAUCCCCAUAAGACAAAUUUUGUUUGUUUUUAGUUACUUAACAGGAAGCCAGCCUGUUGCCACGGCGACAGAGUUCCUCUUCAACCACUGAUUGUUGCUAUUGAAAGCUGCUGAGGCGGGACACGCAGUGCGGUGACAUCAUCGAUGUCUUUCACAGCCAUACUUGGCAGAGAAACACACACUCAGCUCAGCCCGAUUGGCUGCGGACGAUGUCACGCCAGUAGCCUCACACCGCGUUUGUAAAGUGGGCCCGCUGCGUCACGCACUGCUGCUAUAUUCAGUGCUAAAAUCAACACUAUUGUCAGUGACGGCACAAAACCUUCAUUCAUUCACUGCUGCGACCACACCUCACCCCUCAUGACCACUUCAUGGUCACCGGGAGGUUAAAGCAGAUCCAGAGCAUCGAGUGAAUGAAUAAAUGCUGCUUUACUCGUUGGAGAUGUUUCCUUUCAAAUAUUCUUUAAGUACCAAAAUAAUGUUGUGAUGAAAACACUAAGUUGAGGAGCUCUGGGCACAAGCGAGUCUUUCUCAUUAGAACGAUUCUCAUCUAGAGCCGCAGUUAAUGUUUGUUUUCCUAUGGGGUAGAGAAGAGGAGCCUAUUAUUAGCAUCCCACGAGGGUGAGGGGCCCAUAAUUUCUUUUUCCAGCAAUGACCUCAUCUCAACAACACGACUCUAUCCCACUUUUUUUCCCCACUUCCUGAGUCAGCCACUUUUUCGAUUCACAUUCAUCUAUUUUAAGGCUUUAUUUCCAUCGCUCCACCGGUGGGGAGACGUACAUACAGUACAGUAAGUGCGGGUUUUAAUAUGGAAAAGGAAAAUGAGCCUUGAGCGUUAAUGUGGCUGGACACAGGUUUGGCGCUGUGGAGGCAGGAUUAGCAGGACCAAGAUGGCAGAAAUGCCACCGGGUCAGUGGAGUCACCUGCAGCCGGGGUGUUUGAGAGAAAAGCCAGGACUGGAAAUGUGGGUCAAGCCCAGCACGCUGUAAAUCUAUCUGCCUGGAAGCAGAGUGAACAGGCCUGAUGCGGCCGCCAUCGUCGUUGAGCUUAACUGACGUUUUUAAAGUGCAGUCUUUUCCUAAUUCACCACUGACCUACUUACUGAUGACCAAGGCCGUUUUCCUUCAGACGCACCUUUCGCUAACAGUAACUGGACAGGAUGAGCAGCGUCUCUUUCCACGUUCCAGGGUUCCAGGGUCCCAGGGUUCCAGGGUUCCAGGGUCCCAGGGUCCCAGGGUUCCAGGGUUCCAGGGUUCUAGGGUUCUAGGGUUCCUGCACCUGGUUGACCCACGGCGGCCAGAGGCUAAAACCACAGCUGGACUCAUUCCAGAAGCUUCGCCGUGGCCACAGCACAGCUUCUUUUUUCCACCAACAACAACUGGUGCCUCCCUCGAACGUUGGACAAAUAAAAGGUGCAAGUCUCAUGCAGGACGAGCACGUGGCCGUGCCCUGAAGCAGCUACAGGUGUUUAUGAGCUCAAACCCAGGCUGCUGACUUACAUUUACAUGUCCCGUUGGUCCAGGAGCGGGAAAGAGGUGCUAGAGUUGGCGCGAGUGGGAAGAAUGCUGUGGUGUAAGCUGAUGUUGAACCUCAUAAAACUGUAGUAUUUCAUAGGUUGCCUUUGUUGAAUCCAACCUGUCCACAUGUUUAUGGUGUCAGCAGAUCAGGUGGUGAAUCAGAGGCUGCUUUCUUUCUGCUGGUCUCUGGUCCAGGCUCAGUGUGAGUUGUCCCAGCAUUGAAUUAUGCCACAGUAGUGUCAGAUUUGAUUCCAUGAUAUAAAG
Molecule: long non-coding RNA, 5549 nt
Organism: Betta splendens (Siamese fighting fish)
Lineage: Eukaryota; Metazoa; Chordata; Actinopteri; Anabantiformes; Osphronemidae
Exons: 3
Source: RefSeq, a predicted model, not a curated record